GGGGAGUACGGUCGCAAGACCGAAACUCAAAGGAAUUGACGGGGGCCUGCACAAGCGGUGGAGCAUGUCGUUUAAUUUGAUACAACGUGCAAAACCUUACCAGGCCUUGACAUAUGAACAACAAAACCUGUCCUUAACAGGAUGGUACUGACUUUCAUACAGGUGGUGCAUGGCUGUCGUCAGCUCAUGUCAUGAGAUGUUUGGUCAUGUCCUAUAACGAGCGAAACCCUCGUUUUGUGUUGCUGAGACAUGCGCCUAAGGAGAAAUUGCCACCGAGUGACGUGCCAGCGCUACUACUUGAUUGAGUGCCGGCACGUAGCUGUGCUUUCAGCAAGAAUUUCACCAUUGGGAGCCGGUGCCUUCCGAAGCACUUUCACGUGUGAAACAAAGUCGUCUUGCCCAAGACCCACGGAGACCUACCUAUAGUGACGUCAAAGUACCAGUGAGCAUGGAGGUUCGGUUGAAAUUGGUUACGACGAUGUCGACUUGGUGGCGGAGGAAGACUCGUCAUGAAUGCCAGAAAAUGGUGUGGAACGUAGUGGUAAUACUACGCACCCCGCUCCGAAUCAAAGAAAAAAGUGCGUGCCGCACUCAAGAGGGACUGCCAGUGAGAUACUGGAGGAAGGUGGGGAUGACGUCAAGUCUGCAUGGCUCUUAUGGGCUGGGCCACACACGUGCUACAAUGGCAAUGAUAGUGGGAAGCAAGGCUGUAAGGCGGAGCGAAUCCAGAAAGAUUGCCUCAGUUCGGAUUGUUCUCUGCAACUCGGGAACAUGAAGUUGAAAUUGCUAGUAAUCGCGGAUCAGCAUGCCGUGGUGAAUAUGUACCCGGGCCCUACACACACCACCCAUCACAUCCUGGGAAUUGGUUUCGCUUGAAGCAUCGGACCAAUAAGCACCCAUGACUUCUGUGUACCACUAGUGCCACAAAGGCCUUUGAUGGUCUUAUUGGCACGGUGGGGUCUUCGACUGGGGUGAAGUCGUAACAAGGUAGCCGUAGGGGGAACCUGUGGCUG
RNAcentral lists this ribosomal RNA (1013 nucleotides) under Triticum aestivum (bread wheat). RNAcentral's name for it is "rRNA SSU_rRNA_eukarya". It matches the Rfam family "Bacterial small subunit ribosomal RNA", at positions 875 to 1520 of the family's 1533-position model. Lineage: Eukaryota; Viridiplantae; Streptophyta; Magnoliopsida; Poales; Poaceae. The record is from RNAcentral.